Non-coding RNA from Triticum aestivum (bread wheat), 115 nucleotides. Lineage: Eukaryota; Viridiplantae; Streptophyta; Magnoliopsida; Poales; Poaceae. The record is from Rfam.
AAUAUACUUCCUCCGUUCCGAAUUACUUGUCGCGGGUAUGGAUGUAUCUAGAUGUAUUUUAGUUCUAGAUACAUACAUUUCUGCGACGAGUAAUUUGGAAUGGAGGGAGUAGUAG